ACGACCUUGCUUGAACAGGAUCUGUUCUAUGUACAUCUGUUUCCCUUGAGUUCUACGGAGACAGGAAUCAAAGUCUGGUUGAUGAAUCAUGACCAUGCGAUCAGAGCGUGAAUAACAGAUUCCCGAUCCUUGGACCGUUGGAUCAGUGGAGGAUCGUUCUCAGCCACUCUUCGGAAUGGCUGUGAUGGUUGCAUUGUUGUCUGACAGACU
Molecule: small nucleolar RNA, 210 nt
Organism: Carya illinoinensis
Lineage: Eukaryota; Viridiplantae; Streptophyta; Magnoliopsida; Fagales; Juglandaceae
Product: small nucleolar RNA U3
Exons: 1
Source: RefSeq, a predicted model, not a curated record